CCUACGUGGGGCAGCAGUGAGGAAUAUUGGUCACUGGACGAGAGUCUGAACCAGCCAAGCAGCGUGAAGGAUGACUGCCCUAUGGGUUGUAAACUUUUUUUAUAUGGGAAUAAAAUGUUCCACGUGUGGGAUUUUGUAUGUACCAUAUGAAUAAGGAUCGGCUAACUCCGUGCCAGUAGCCGCGGUAAUACGGAGGAUUCGAGCGUUAUCCGGAUUUAUUGGGUUUAAAGUGAGCGUAGGUGGAUCGUUAAGUUAGUUGUGAAAGUUUGCGGCUCAACCGUAAAAGUGCAGUUGAAACUGGCAGUCUUGAGUACAGUAGAGGUGAGCGGAAUUCGAGGUGUAGCGGUGAAAUGCUUAGAUAUAACGAAGAACACCGAUUGCGAAGGCAGCUCACUGGACUGCAACUGACACUGAGGCUCGAAAGUGUGGGUAUCAAACAGGAUUAGAUACCCUUGUAGUC
This 460-nucleotide ribosomal RNA is filed under the name uncultured bacterium. RNAcentral's name for it is "partial 16S ribosomal RNA". It matches the Rfam family "Bacterial small subunit ribosomal RNA", at positions 338 to 795 of the family's 1533-position model. The record is from RNAcentral.